RNAcentral lists this ribosomal RNA (833 nucleotides) under uncultured Capnocytophaga sp. Its description in RNAcentral is "bacterial SSU rRNA". The stretch from base 1 to 724 matches the Rfam family "Bacterial small subunit ribosomal RNA". Lineage: Bacteria; Pseudomonadati; Bacteroidota; Flavobacteriia; Flavobacteriales; Flavobacteriaceae. The record is from RNAcentral.
GAUGAACGCUGACAGAAUGCUUAACACAUGCAAGUCAACUUGAAUUUGGGUUUUUAACUUAAGUUUGGGUGGCGGACGGGUGAGUAACGCGUAAAGAACUUGCCUCACAGCUAGGGACAACAUUUGGAAACGAAUGCUAAUACCUAAUAUUAUGAUAAUAGGGCAUCCUAUAAUUAUGAAAGCUAUAAGCGCUGUGAGAGAGCUUUGCGUCCCAUUAGCUAGUUGGAGAGGUAACGGCUCACCAAGGCGAUGAUGGGUAGCCGGCCUGAGAGGGUGAUCGGCCACUAGGGGACUGAUACACGGCCCUUACUCCUACGGGAGGCAGCAGUGGGGAAUAUUGGACAAUGGACCAAGAGUCUGAUCCAGCAUUCUGUGUGCACGAUGAAGUUUUUCGGAAUGUAAAGUGCUUUCAGUUGGGAAGAUAGAAAUGACGGUUCCAACAGAAGAAGUGACGGCUAAAACGUGCCAGCAGCCGCGGUAAUACGUAUGUCACUAGCGUUAUCCGGAUUUAUUGGUCGUAAAGCGCGCUAGGUGGUAUGUAUUCUGAUGUGAAUGCAGGGCUCAUCUCUGUUUGCGUUGUAUUCUGUUUACUAGAUUACUGUAGAGUUAUCUUGACUACAAGUGUGUGGGUGAAUUUGUAUUAUGUGUUGGAUGCCCAUGAGUAAUCCAUUUUACUUGUAUUGAUGCGGGCGUUGAAUCCCGGAUGUGUGUGAUGUUAUAGUAUAUGAUUCUGUGUGAGCCUAUGUGUUGUUCAUGCUGUGUGAUGGUGUUUUUUAUUGUGUCUAUGUCCACGUCUGCGCUGAUAAAAAAAUUAUAAAUCUUAGAUGUGGUAA